CACAUUCAUAGUUCACAUGAUUCUUUGUCAAUUCAUAUGUUCUCUAACAUAUAAUCGAAUCCCAACCAAUUACUCAUUUCACUACCCUAUAUGCAUGAAUACUACAAUAUCAAGAUGCUCAAUUAAGAUAACAUAGACAUAGAAGGAAAUUCGGUCUUGUAGGGAUACAGGGAGGCCGCGAUCCUGAUUUCACAAUUUUUAGACACCUACGCCGCGAGCUGCGGCAAUAUGUACCAAAUUAGCUUGUUUCUUCAAUAUCUCCGCGCACGCUCGUCGUAUCGCCGAACCGAGUGCACUAACGUGUUCGUUGACCUACCAAUUAGGUUAGAAUGAGAUCAAACCCA
This 344-nucleotide long non-coding RNA is filed under the name Ananas comosus (pineapple). RNAcentral describes it as "long non-coding RNA (ACOM_LNC003221)". The record is from RNAcentral. Lineage: Eukaryota; Viridiplantae; Streptophyta; Magnoliopsida; Poales; Bromeliaceae.